This 27-nucleotide non-coding RNA is filed under the name Rattus norvegicus (Norway rat). The record is from RNAcentral. Lineage: Eukaryota; Metazoa; Chordata; Mammalia; Rodentia; Muridae.
GCUCUAAACAGUCUGAGGGACAGUCAC